GACAGAGGUGCCGAGCGUUAGGCGGAAUCACUGGGCUUAAAGCGUGUGUAGGCGGAUCGUUAAGUGUCUUGUGAAAUCCCCCGGCUCAACCGGGGAACUGCUGGGCAUACUGGCGAUCUUGAGCGGCCUAGGGGCAGAUGGAACAAGUGGUGGAGCGGUGAAAUGCGUAGAUAUCACUUGGAACGCCAAAGGUGAAAACAGUCUGCUGGGGGCCUGCUGACGCUGAGACACGGAAGCCAGGGGAGCGAACGGG
RNAcentral lists this ribosomal RNA (253 nucleotides) under uncultured bacterium. RNAcentral describes it as "partial 16S ribosomal RNA". It matches the Rfam family "Bacterial small subunit ribosomal RNA", at positions 524 to 776 of the family's 1533-position model. The record is from RNAcentral.